GCUCCGGGAUACUGAGGGCGGAGGGCGGUGGCAGCGCUGGCGCUGGGGACCGGCUUGGUGGCUUCGGGAAACAGUUUGGCGCCGGCGGCCGUCCGUGUUACUCCGCAUCCCGCCCCGUCUCGGCACGGCUAGCAGCCCCCUGGCCACCAGCGUCCAGCAAUGUGUCUCACCGGCCGGGCGUAGCAGCUGCGCGUGCGCGGAACCGCGGGGCCAUGAGCGAAGCCGGCGGCCGGGGCUGUGGGUCCCCGGUUCCCCAGCGAGCGCGAUGGAGACUAGUGGCGGCGACGGCCGCGUUCUGCCUGGUGUCGGCCACCUCCGUGUGGACGGCGGGGGCCGAGCCCAUGAGUAGGGAGGAGAAACAGAAGCUUGGGAAUCAAGUACUGGAAAUGUUUGAUCAUGCUUAUGGUAACUAUAUGGAACAUGCUUACCCUGCUGAUGAACUCAUGCCUUUAACCUGUAGAGGUCGAGUUAGAGGCCAAGAGCCAAGUCGCGGUGACGUUGAUGAUGCCUUGGGAAAAUUUUCUCUGACACUGAUUGAUUCUUUGGACACUCUUGUGGUUUUAAAUAAAACUAAAGAAUUUGAAGAUGCAGUGAGAAAAGUUUUAAGAGAUGUUAAUUUAGAUAACGAUGUAGUCGUAUCAGUCUUUGAAACAAACAUCAGAGUUCUUGGGGGUCUUUUGGGUGGGCACUCCCUGGCAAUCAUGCUGAAAGAAAAAGGUGAAUAUAUGCAGUGGUACAAUGAUGAACUUCUCCAAAUGGCAAAGCAGUUAGGUUACAAACUUUUACCGGCUUUCAACACUACCAGUGGCCUUCCUUAUCCAAGAAUUAAUUUAAAGUUUGGCAUCAGAAAACCAGAAGCUCGGACAGGAACUGAGACAGAUACCUGUACAGCUUGUGCAGGUACCUUGAUCCUUGAAUUUGCUGCUUUAAGUCGAUUCACAGGAGCAACAAUAUUUGAGGAAUAUGCCAGAAAAGCUCUUGAUUUUCUCUGGGAAAAAAGACAGCGAAGUAGUAAUUUAGUGGGCGUGACUAUAAAUAUUCAUACUGGAGAUUGGGUACGAAAAGAUAGUGGAGUUGGAGCAGGGAUUGAUUCAUAUUAUGAAUAUCUGUUGAAAGCCUAUGUCUUGCUUGGAGAUGACAGUUUUCUGGAAAGAUUUAACACACACUAUGAUGCCAUAAUGAGGUAUAUUAGCCAGCCACCUCUUCUACUUGAUGUGCAUAUCCACAAACCAAUGCUGAAUGCUCGGACUUGGAUGGAUGCUUUGCUUGCCUUCUUCCCAGGCUUGCAGGUGUUAAAGGGGGAUAUUAGACCUGCUAUUGAAACUCAUGAAAUGUUAUAUCAGGUGAUUAAAAAACACAAUUUUCUACCAGAGGCAUUUACCACAGAUUUCAGAGUACACUGGGCUCAACAUCCUUUAAGGCCAGAAUUUGCAGAAAGUACCUACUUCUUAUAUAAAGCUACAGGAGAUCCUUACUACCUUGAAGUAGGGAAGACACUUAUUGAAAAUUUAAAUAAAUAUGCUAGAGUGCCUUGCGGAUUUGCUGCCAUGAAGGAUGUUCGUACUGGAAGUCAUGAGGACAGAAUGGAUUCUUUCUUCUUGGCUGAAAUGUUUAAAUAUCUUUACCUGUUAUUUGCUGAUAAAGAAGACAUUAUUUUUGACAUAGAAGAUUACAUCUUUACAACAGAAGCUCAUCUGUUACCUCUUUGGCUCUCUACUACAAAUCAAAGCAUCUCUAAAAAGAACACAACCUCGGAAUAUACAGAACUGGAUGACAGUAACUUCGAUUGGACUUGUCCAAAUACUCAGAUCCUCUUUCCUAAUGACCCAUUGUAUGCUCAAAGUAUUCGUGAGCCCUUGAAAAAUGUGGUGGAUAAGAGCUGUCCUAGAGGCAUCAUCAGAGUAGAGGAGAGUUUCAGGAGUGGAGCUAAACCCCCUCUGAGAGCCAGAGAUUUCAUGGCCACUAACCCUGAGCAUUUAGAAAUCCUGAAGAAGAUGGGGGUGAGUUUGAUUCACCUCAAAGAUGGGAGAGUCCAGUUGGUCCAACAUGCAAUCCAAGCUGCUAGUUCAAUCGACGCUGAAGAUGGGUUGAGGUUCAUGCAGGAGAUGAUUGAAUUGUCAAGUCAGCAACAAAAAGAACAGCAGCUGCCUCCACGAGCUGUACAAAUUGUUUCCCACCCAUUUUUUGGCAGGGUAGUAUUGACUGCUGGACCAGCUCAGUUUGGGCUGGAUCUGUCUAAACAUAAAGAGUUGCUUUUAUUUCUGACAGACAAGAGGAUUUGUUGCAAGCAGUAAACCAUCCAAUGGUUGUUCAGAGCUUACUAACCCAGAGGCAGUGAUGGGAAAAAUCGCACUGAUACAAAGAGGACAGUGCAUGUUUGCAGAAAAGGCACGCAACAUCCAGAAUGCUGGAGCCAUUGGUGGCAUUGUUAUUGAUGACAAUGAGGGGAGCAGCAGUGAUACUGCCCCUCUGUUCCAGAUGGCAGGUGAUGGAAAGGAUACAGAUGACAUCAAGAUCCCCAUGCUGUUCUUAUUCAGCAAAGAAGGAAGUAUCAUACUGGAUGCCAUCCGGGAAUAUGAGGAGGUAGAAGUGCUCCUCUCUGAUAAAGCAAAAGAUCGAGCAGCAAUAUUAAAAGGUAAAAUGAUUCCAAGCUACAUUAUUAAUAGUAAUCCUGAAAUGGAAAAUGAAGAACAACCAUCCUCUGAAAAUGAUUCUCAGAAUCAGAGUGGUGAACAGAUUUCAUCAAGUUCUCAGGAGGUUGAUUUGGUUGAUCAAGAGUCUUCUGAGGAAAAUUCUCUAAAUUCUCACCCAGAAUCAUUAUCUCUAGCAGAUAUGGACAAUGCUGCAAGCAUUUCCCCUUCUGAACAGACUUCUAAUCCCACAGAAAACCAUGAGACUACAAAUCUUAAUGGUGAAUGUACAGAUUUAGAUAACCAGCUUCAAGAACAAUCAGAAACUGAGGAAGAUUCCAAUCCUAAUGUUAGCUGGGGUAAAAAGGUCCAGCCUAUAGACUCCAUAUUAGCAGACUGGAAUGAAGAUAUAGAAGCAUUUGAAAUGAUGGAGAAGGAUGAGCUAUGACUUGCUAAACAAUCUGUUGGUAGGUAUUUAAAAAGAAAAGGUAAACUGUGUGUGGUUAAUAGACAUCCUAAUACUAAGCAGGCUUUCUAAUGGGAGGCUUUAAGUAUGGUGAUGAACAACCACGUUCUGACUGGCGUAGUUAUCGUAGGAAUCUGGAGCAUGCUGUGUUAGAAUUGACCUUGUUUAAAACUGUCCCAUCAAAAAUGGAAAUCCACAGUUCCCCCUUCAAAUGCAGCACUGCACCACCCUGCAACACCUCAGGCCAGGGAAAGAUUACUGAGCAUUCCUGCGAACCAGAUUUCUGUUGUCUCUGGAUAGACAAGAAACAAAAUUCAUUUAGUAGUGGAGUGGGGAAUAGGAGUUUGGAUAGCCUUCUAAUUAAAGGAAGCUCGCCUUUCUUGGUUUUGGGGGUUAGAGGCUCUUUUGGGAAGAUGCAUCCGAGUAUUGUGGCAUUCUGAUUAUGCUGCCUUCACAAAACACUCUAAGUGACCUAAGUGGUUAUGAAGCAAAUGCAUUUAUGGUGAAAACAGUCUUUGCUCAUUGCUUUCUCUUGUUUCAUUUAGUGACAAAUGAUCAAGAUGACUUGAUUUUUUUUCCUUCUUAACAAUGUCUUUUUUAUUUAAACCAAAGGUGAAGCCAGUGUACUUUCUCAGUGAGUUCUCUGCAUAAAGACUAAUCAGUGGGACCAGGUAAAAAGGUCAUAUAAUACAUUGUGGAGAUUGCUUACUUAAUACUUCUGAAAAAUGGAGUAAGGGAGAAACUGUAAUGUUGCAAUAUGAACCUCCCAUUGGGCCUUCCAUAGGGAAAGCUGUGACUACUCUGAAAUGGAACCUAGCAUUAUAUCCUUGUAGGGUAGAUUAUAAAUCAUUUCCAGUUCAUUUCUCUUAGAGGUGAUUACCUCUAGCCAUCAGCCUUACUCCAUCCCAUGUUUGGUAUGCAAUUUGAGCCACAAGGCUCGUAUCGCCAACAGCUAUAUACAUUUUGUUCCAUUUUUCUGUCUUACAGAGCCAUGAUAGAACUGUGGUUAGUGAGUUAAAAUUCCUGGAGUAACUACUGUUUUUCUCCUUUGAAACUUAGGUUUCUAAAGUUGCACCUAAGGAAUCUGUCACAUUUUCUGUUGAAUCAUGGUUUUUGUUUUUGUUUUUAACAGAUAUUCCUUCUGAUACGGACUUGAAAAUUAGUGUAUGGUGACCUGUGUUUAAAAAAAAAAGUACAAUACAACUACAUAUAGCUAUAUAGCUUAAUGAGACUUCCACCCCCCCCCUUUUUUUUUUUGGUUUGUUGUUGUUGUAGUAGUCUGGUGCUGGCCACAUUUAAGUCUUAAAAAUUUUUAAAUUUUGUUGUUGAUGUUUGUAGACAGCCCUGUUGUUGAAAUCAUGGCUUUAUUCAUUUUAUUUAUUUUUUAAACUUGCCUGAAUUUGUUCUAAAGGAAUAUUUAAGAGACAUAAUUUUCUUCUCUUUACCAUAACAUUACACAAAACUUUUUCCUAAAACACGGUUGUGAGGUACUGAUGAGGUGUAAGUGGAGCUGUUAAAAACAGCAGUGCUGUAUUGCAGUUAUGUAUAUUCGUGUACAGUAUGUUUAGAUCCCAGGUAAACAUAUUCUUUUCUGAGAGGAUAAAUACCUGCAUUCAGAUAUUCCAGGUAAAUAUAAUUGAGUCAGGGAGUAGUAAAUCUGAUGGAGAAUUCACUUUGGGGAGGGGAAAAAGAAUAGUAUGCAAGACCCUUAUUGGCUUUUAAUUAUACCUGAAACCAAAAUGGAUAUUUUUAGUCUCUCUGCAUGUGAGAUUUGGUGUAACAAGAUAGAACUAUAAUAUAUACAGUAUAUGGAAGGAUAGAUAUAGUGCUUUGUUCAUUUUAAUUGCAAAGCUGCCAAAAUAGUUGAAGCUUAAUUACUUGACUUGCCUUGAUUUAUAGGACUGGGGCUUGGAGAAAAUGAGCAGAUGUUCCUCUAAGACAUCGAUUACAGAAGCCUUAUAUACAUGGAUUUGAUUUUGUAUUUGUAGCUGAAAGUCACUGUUGUCUAAAACUAACUUUUCUAAGUUAUCAAAACAACCUAAUUUCUUUUCCAACAAGGAGAACUUAAUGGCAUGAAGGAUUGUGUGACACAUUGGAAAAGCCAGCUUACUGCCACUCUCUUCCUUUGGCCAUUAGAGGGAGGUGUUGCCUUUCAUUGACGCUUAGAAGCAAAUUGUUCACUUGUUAAGAAAAGUAAAUCCUUAAAAAAAGAAAAGGAAAAAAUUUAACCAAUUUUUCUUAAUACCCAGAAGGAAUUAUACUCAAUAUUUCCCUAGUUAAGAAAAGAGGAGAUAAUGUUCGUCUAAAAAACUCCAACGUUGUAAUUACAACUCUACAUUCAUUUACUUACUUGACAUACUGCCACAAAGUAGUUUUUGAGUUCAUUAAAAAUUCCAAAGGCAUUAGUUGUUUUUUUUUUUUUUAGUGUUUUGUUUUUUAGUUAACUUUUAUAGACAUUUUAGUAACUUGCUAAAGAUUCAGGGGAUUCUAUGAAACCCCGAAUUUAGAAACAUCUGGUCUACCUCAGUUAAAUGUUGACUGCUUAGAAAUAUAGCUGAAGUGAUCACCACAGCCAUAAAAUUGUUUAAGAAAGAUUUAUAUAAUGUUUACAAAUCUGGAAUCAAGGAUUUUAGCUGAAAUCCUUUAAGAGAUAUUAGAGCAAGUAUUUAAUUCAGGUAUUUUCAAGUUUUAAAACUUAACCUGUUUACCUACUAAAAAUAAAAUAGCUAGUUUUUUUCUGCAUAUAAAAGUUCAUUGAAAUGAUAUGCCCUUAUUUGCAAUACUUUUCCCAUAAAGUUUUAAGUGUGAAAGAAUUGUAAUUUACUAGAUAUGUUUGGUAUGGGAUAUUUUGUUAGGCAAGUUUUCUUUUUUCUUCUUAAAUUGCAAUAGGCUUCCAAAAAGAGUAUAAUUGUUUCAGAACAAAUUAACUCUUGGCAUUAUACGUCUCCCUUUUUCUUUACAGUAUUAGUAAAAAGAAAAAUUGUACACUUUCUGAUUUUAACUUCACUAAUGUAAUUACUCUCUCAAGAAGCUUUUAAAAUUUAAAUUACCAUCACACAACCUUUUUUAUAGUAAAGCCAACAUUUGUUCUCUCACCAAACCCCAUGCCAAAUUCAUCAUGAAGAAAGCUCAGCAUAAGUAAUUCAAAUACUGCUUAUAAUUUUAGAGGGGGGUAGAAUUUAGUAAAUAUUCCAGCCGGUCGUUUUAUGCACAAGGCUUCAGUCAGAACAUAGAAAAAAAAAACAUUCUGUGAAUGAAAUAUUGUAUGUUCAGAUUUUAUAAAAGACAUUUUUAAAAGCCCAAUUUACAGCCGUAUAUUUUCUUAUGAUGUAAUUUAUGAAAAAGAUGUCUGUACUAACAGGUGCUGUAACACUACUGUUGUUGGAUUUUAUUGUUUGGUGAUAAAUGUAUACAAUAUUUCUAAGGGAAACUAUGUACUGUGAUGUAAAAGUCUGGGCAAAAUGUAUAUAAUCCUGUAUAUAAUUAUGUAUUUGAUUAUAAUUACUGAUUGUAAAGAUUUAAUAAAAUAUGUAAAUAUUCCAGUUUAGUUUUAAUUUGAAUUUUUAGAAUCACUGUGCAUAUCCUCAUACUUUUAUGUCUUGAUGUUUAUCACUCUGUUUUCCUUUUUUUUUUAAACUCAUUUUAUCCUCCGGGGAUUGAAUUCUGGGGACAUUUUAGGCUGUAGAAACCCAAGCUUGUGGGCUAAAGUAAGGAUUUUGUUCUAAGAAAUCACUGAAAGUUUUUCAACAAGUCAGUAGCAUGCACAAAGGUAAUGCUAAGUGAAUAAAACUCUAGAAUUGUGUAUAAA
Homo sapiens (human) is the source of this 6904-nucleotide RNA transcript. It is a transcript of the gene named ER degradation enhancing alpha-mannosidase like protein 3, with no coding region annotated. The transcript is spliced from 21 exons. The record is from RefSeq and is marked validated. NCBI's taxonomy places the organism in Eukaryota, Metazoa, Chordata, Mammalia, Primates, Hominidae.